This 274-nucleotide ribosomal RNA is filed under the name uncultured bacterium. RNAcentral's name for it is "partial 16S ribosomal RNA". It matches the Rfam family "Bacterial small subunit ribosomal RNA", at positions 523 to 796 of the family's 1533-position model. The record is from RNAcentral.
AUACGGAGGGUGCAAGCGUUAAUCGGAAUUACUGGGCGUAAAGGGCGCGUAGGCGGUUCUGUAAGUCGGGUGUGAAAGCCCCGGGCUCAACCCGGGAACUGCAUUCGAUACUGCAGGACUAGAGUAUGGUAGAGGAAAGCGGAAUUCCCGGUGUAGCGGUGAAAUGCGUAGAUAUUGGGAGGAACACCAGUGGCGAAGGCGGCUAUCUGGACGGGUACUGACGCUGAGGCGCGAAAGCGUGGGGAGCAAACAGGAUUAGAAACCCCAGUAGUCC